This 484-nucleotide ribosomal RNA is filed under the name uncultured bacterium. RNAcentral's name for it is "partial 16S ribosomal RNA". It matches the Rfam family "Bacterial small subunit ribosomal RNA", at positions 29 to 507 of the family's 1533-position model. The record is from RNAcentral.
AUUGAACGCUGGCGGCAUGCUUUACACAUGCAAGUCGAACGGCAGCGCGGGCUUCGGCCUGGCGGCGAGUGGCGAACGGGUGAGUAAUGCAUCGGAACGUGCCCAGUAGUGGGGGAUAGCCCGGCGAAAGCCGGAUUAAUACCGCAUACGACCUGAGGGUGAAAGCGGGGGACCGAAAGGCCUCGCGCUAUUGGAGCGGCCGAUGUCGGAUUAGCUAGUUGGUGGGGUAAAGGCUAACCAAGGCGACGAUCCGUAGCUGGUCUGAGAGGACGACCAGCCACACUGGGACUGAGACACGGCCCAGACUCCUACGGGAGGCAGCAGUGGGGAAUUUUGGACAAUGGGGGCAACCCUGAUCCAGCCAUGCCGCGUGCGGGAAGAAGGCCUUCGGGUUGUAAACCGCUUUUGUUCGGGAAGAAAUCCUCUGGGCUAAUACCCCGGGGGGAUGACGGUACCGGAAGAAUAAGCACCGGCUAACUACGUG